Molecule: small RNA, 83 nt
Filed under: Marmota monax (woodchuck)
Lineage: Eukaryota; Metazoa; Chordata; Mammalia; Rodentia; Sciuridae
Source: RNAcentral
GCCGGGCGCAGUAGCCCACGCCUGUAAUCCCAGCAGCUCAGGAGGCUGAGGCAGGAGGAUCCCGAGUCCAAAGCCAGCCUCAG